GGGAGCGUAGCUCAGUUGGAUAGAGCAUCUGCCUUCUAAGCAGAGGGUCGCAGGUUCGAGUCCUGCCGCUCCUACCA
This 77-nucleotide transfer RNA is filed under the name Acidobacteriota bacterium. Its description in RNAcentral is "tRNA-Arg". It matches the Rfam family "tRNA". From Rfam's summary of the family: Transfer RNA (tRNA) molecules are approximately 80 nucleotides in length. The record is from RNAcentral. RNAcentral also lists the same sequence under 4 other names. Lineage: Bacteria; Pseudomonadati; Acidobacteriota.